Molecule: ribosomal RNA, 497 nt
Filed under: uncultured bacterium
Lineage: Bacteria
Description: partial 16S ribosomal RNA
Rfam family: Bacterial small subunit ribosomal RNA
Source: RNAcentral
GAUGAACGCUGGCGGCGUGCCUAAUACAUGCAAGUCGAGCGAACGGACGAGAAGCUUGCUUCUCUGAUGUUAGCGGCGGACGGGUGAGUAACACGUGGAUAACCUACCUAUAAGACUGGGAUAACUUCGGGAAACCGGAGCUAAUACCGGAUGAUAUUUUGAACCGCAUGGUUCAAAAGUGAAAGACGGUCUUGCUGUCACUUAUAGAUGGAUCCGCGCUGCAUUAGCUAGUUGGUAAGGUAACGGCUUACCAAGGCAACGAUGCAUAGCCGACCUGAGAGGGUGAUCGCCCACACUGGAACUGAGACUCGGUCCAGACUCCUACGGGAGGCAGCAGUAGGGAAUCUUCCGCAAUGGGCGAAAGCCUGACGGAGCAACGCCGCGUGAGUGAUGAAGGUCUUCGGAUCGUAAAACUCUGUUAUUAGGGAAGAACAUAUGUGUAAGUAACUGUGCACAUCUUGACGGUACCUAAUCAGAAGGCCACGGCUAACUACGUG